This 212-nucleotide long non-coding RNA is filed under the name Bison bison bison. Its description in RNAcentral is "Six3os1 conserved region 7 (ENSBBBG00000011369.1)". It matches the Rfam family "Six3os1 conserved region 7". The record is from RNAcentral. Lineage: Eukaryota; Metazoa; Chordata; Mammalia; Artiodactyla; Bovidae.
UGGUCUCAGUGCCUCACCCCCAGAUCUGCAUCGGAAUGUAGAAAAGAUCCUUUUUUUUUUUUUUUUUUAAAGAAAAAAAGUUUUGAAUUCCUCAAUGAUUUUUCUUCUGGAAAGGCAGCUUAGGAUAAUUAUUUCAGCUUUAUUGAGGGCAGAUUAGUUGAAGUCUGGACGCUGCGUUUUCAAUACACGUUGUACACGGGCCGACAAUGUGG